GCUCUGCAGUUUGGGGCCGCGCGGGGUUGGCGGUACCCUGGAGCGCACCAGACGGGCAGAGAAAGCAUACUCCAGAGGAAGCUGAGGCAUGGCCGCUCGAGGGCCAGCGGUGCCGUGUGCAAUGUUCCUCUGAUACGGUACUGUUGCCACGGUGGUAAUGGCUGUGCCGUGUCAUUAUCGAUCCACCAACAGUAAGAGAAACUGCAGUCGAGAUAUUGUUUAGCAGACAGAGCGCGUUCUGUUGGACACUAAGUACUGCUACAAAU
Non-coding RNA from Octodon degus (degu), 266 nucleotides. Lineage: Eukaryota; Metazoa; Chordata; Mammalia; Rodentia; Octodontidae. The record is from Ensembl.